This 254-nucleotide ribosomal RNA is filed under the name uncultured bacterium. Its description in RNAcentral is "partial 16S ribosomal RNA". It matches the Rfam family "Bacterial small subunit ribosomal RNA", at positions 524 to 776 of the family's 1533-position model. The record is from RNAcentral.
UACGAAGGGGGCUAGCGUUGUUCGGAAUCACUGGGCGUAAAGCGUAUGUAGGCGGAUCGUUAAGUCGGGGGUGAAAUCCCGAGGCUCAACCUCGGAACUGCCUUCGAUACUGGCGAUCUUCGAGUCCGGGAGAGGUGAGUGGAACUCCGAGUGUAGAGGUGAAAUUCGUAGAUAUUCGGAAGAACACCAGUGGCGAAGGCGGCUCACUGGCCCGGUACUGACGCUGAUAUACGAAAGCGUGGGGAGCAAACCGG